RNAcentral lists this ribosomal RNA (842 nucleotides) under Phyllosticta beaumarisii. Its description in RNAcentral is "LSU rRNA". It matches the Rfam family "Eukaryotic large subunit ribosomal RNA", at positions 71 to 929 of the family's 3401-position model. Lineage: Eukaryota; Fungi; Ascomycota; Dothideomycetes; Botryosphaeriales; Phyllostictaceae. The record is from RNAcentral.
GGGAUUGCCUCAGUAACGGCGAGUGAAGCGGCAAUAGCUCAAAUUUGAAAGCUGGCACCCUCGGUGCCCGCGUUGUAAUUUGUAGAGGAUGCUUCGGCGAGGACCCCUGCCUAAGUCCCCUGGAACGGGGCGUCACAGAGGGUGAGAAUCCCGUAUGUGGCGGGCGGUCCGAGCCAUGUGAAGCUCCUUCGACGAGUCGAGUUGUUUGGGAAUGCAGCUCUAAAUGGGAGGUAAAUUUCUUCUAAAGCUAAAUAUUGGCCAGAGACCGAUAGCGCACAAGUAGAGUGAUCGAAAGAUGAAAAGCACUUUGGAAAGAGAGUUAAAAAGUACGUGAAAUUGUUGAAAGGGAAGCGCUUGCAACCAGACUCGCUCGCAGUUGCUCAGCCGGCCUCUUGGCCGGUGUACUCUUCUGCGAUCGGGCCAGCAUCAGUUCGGGCGGCUGGAUAAAGGUGUCGGGAACGUAGCACCCUUCGGGGUGUGUUAUAGCCCGGCGCGGAAUGCGGCCAGCCUGGACUGAGGAACUCGCUUCGGCAAGGAUGCUGGCGUAAUGGUUGUAAGCGGCCCGUCUUGAAACACGGACCAAGGAGUCUAACAUCUAUGCGAGUGUUUGGGUGUCAAACCCAUGCGCGUAAUGAAAGUGAACGGAGGUGGGAACCCCUCGCGGGGUGCACCAUCGACCGAUCCUGAUGUCUUCGGAUGGAUUUGAGUAAGAGCAUAGCUGUUGGGACCCGAAAGAUGGUGAACUAUGCCUGAAUAGGGUGAAGCCAGAGGAAACUCUGGUGGAGGCUCGCAGCGGUUCUGACGUGCAAAUCGAUCGUCAAAUUUGGGUAUAGGGGCGAAAG